Molecule: ribosomal RNA, 576 nt
Filed under: Salmonella enterica subsp. enterica serovar Typhimurium
Lineage: Bacteria; Pseudomonadati; Pseudomonadota; Gammaproteobacteria; Enterobacterales; Enterobacteriaceae
Description: partial 23S ribosomal RNA
Rfam family: Bacterial large subunit ribosomal RNA
Source: RNAcentral
CCCCGGUAAACGGCGGCCGUAACUAUAACGGUCCUAAGGUAGCGAAAUUCCUUGUCGGGUAAGUUCCGACCUGCACGAAUGGCGUAAUGAUGGCCAGGCUGUCUCCACCCGAGACUCAGUGAAAUUGAACUCGCUGUGAAGAUGCAGUGUACCCGCGGCAAGACGGAAAGACCCCGUGAACCUUUACUAUAGCUUGACACUGAACAUUGAGCCUUGAUGUGUAGGAUAGGUGGGAGGCUUUGAAGUGUGGACGCCAGUCUGCAUGGAGCCGACCUUGAAAUACCACCCUUUAAUGUUUGAUGUUCUAACGUGGACCCGUAAUCCGGGUUGCGGACAGUGUCUGGUGGGUAGUUUGACUGGGGCGGUCUCCUCCUAAAGAGUAACGGAGGAGCACGAAGGUUGGCUAAUCCUGGUCGGACAUCAGGAGGUUAGUGCAAUGGCAUAAGCCAGCUUGACUGCGAGCGUGACGGCGCGAGCAGGUGCGAAAGCAGGUCAUAGUGAUCCGGUGGUUCUGAAUGGAAGGGCCAUCGCUCAACGGAUAAAAGGUACUCCGGGGAUAACAGGCUGAUACCGCCC